GAUGAACGCUGGCGGCGUGCUUAACACAUGCAAGUCGAACGGAAAGGCCCAAGCUUGCUUGGGUACUCGAGUGGCGAACGGGUGAGUAACACGUGGGUGAUCUGCCCUGCACUUCGGGAUAAGCCUGGGAAACUGGGUCUAAUACCGGAUAGGACCACAUUUUGGAUGGUGUGGUGGAAAGUUUUUCGGUGUGGGAUGAGCUCGCGGCCUAUCAGCUUGUUGGUGGGGUAAUGGCCUACCAAGGCGUCGACGGGUAGCCGGCCUGAGAGGGUGUACGGCCACAUUGGGACUGAGAUACGGCCCAGACUCCUACGGGAGGCAGCAGUGGGGAAUAUUGCACAAUGGGCGCAAGCCUGAUGCAGCGACGCCGCGUGGGGGAUGACGGCCUUCGGGUUGUAAACUCCUUUCGCUAGGGACGAAGCGUUAUGUGACGGUACCUGGAGAAGAAGCACCAGCUAACUACGUG
Molecule: ribosomal RNA, 466 nt
Filed under: uncultured bacterium
Lineage: Bacteria
Description: partial 16S ribosomal RNA
Rfam family: Bacterial small subunit ribosomal RNA
Source: RNAcentral